GAUUGCCUUUCGAGGCACCUUAACCAGACCUGAUUCGGUCUCUCGUGACAUAGAGUUAGAUCUUCACCUCAUUCAAAAUGGUCUACAUCGGACAUCACGUUUUGAGAUUGCGAUGCAAGUCGUUCGGAACAUGGUUGCUACUGUUGGUGACUCAAAUCUCUGGUUAGCUGGCCAUUCCCUCGGCUCAGCCAUGGCAAUGCUUGCCGGAAGAACUAUGGCAAGAACAGGCAUUUUCCUCAAAUCAUAUCUCUUCAAUCCUCCAUUCUUUGCCGCACCGAUCGAGAGAAUCAAGGACAAGAAACUAAAACAUGGAUUACGGAUUGCUGGCAGUGUUAUCACUGCAGGACUUGCUCUUGCUUUGAAAGCUAGAAGUAAUAAUAACCAAAGGAAUGGAGUUGAGGAGCCAUUUUUUGCCAUAGCAGCAUGGGUUCCUUCUUU
RNAcentral lists this unclassified non-coding RNA (438 nucleotides) under Hevea brasiliensis (rubber tree). Lineage: Eukaryota; Viridiplantae; Streptophyta; Magnoliopsida; Malpighiales; Euphorbiaceae. The record is from RNAcentral.